ACGUACACUCCUACGGGAGGCAGCAGUGGGGAAUAUUGGACAAUGGGCGCAAGCCUGAUCCAGCCAUGCCGCGUGAGUGAUGAAGGCCCUAGGAUUGUAAAGCUCUUUCACCGGUGAAGAUAAUGACGGUAACCGGAGAAGAAGCCCCGGCUAACUUCGUGCCAGCAGCCGCGGUAAUACGAAGGGGGCUAGCGUUGUUCGGAUUUACUGGGCGUAAAGCGCACGUAGGCGGACUAUUAAGUCAGGGGUGAAAUCCCGGGGCUCAACCCCGGAACUGCCUUUGAUACUGGUAGUCUUGAGUUCGAGAGAGGUGAGUGGAAUUCCGAGUGUAGAGGUGAAAUUCGUAGAUAUUCGGAGGAACACCAGUGGCGAAGGCGGCUCGCUGGCUCGAUACUGACGCUGAGGUGCGAAAGCGUGGGGAGCAAACAGGAUUAGAUACCCCAGUAGUCCCA
RNAcentral lists this ribosomal RNA (452 nucleotides) under uncultured organism. Its description in RNAcentral is "partial 16S ribosomal RNA". It matches the Rfam family "Bacterial small subunit ribosomal RNA", at positions 329 to 797 of the family's 1533-position model. The record is from RNAcentral.